Long non-coding RNA from Dioscorea cayenensis subsp. rotundata (Guinea yam), 3498 nucleotides. RefSeq lists it as uncharacterized. NCBI's taxonomy places the organism in Eukaryota, Viridiplantae, Streptophyta, Magnoliopsida, Dioscoreales, Dioscoreaceae. The transcript is spliced from 3 exons. The record is from RefSeq and is a predicted model, not a curated record.
UUCGAUCUCUCUAAUUUGAUUUCCCUUUUCCUUUCUUCGUCGAUGGUUUCCCCUUUUGUGAUUGCGGGUUCUUUGAUCUCUUAUUCACAGCGGUUUUUGAAGAUCCGAGCCUUUCGUGAAUUGGUUCUUGGUAUGAAGAUCAAGGCGAUGGUCUGUGAUUCAAUCGGUGAUAUAGCUUUCGGUGUUUUUCGUUUUGUUGGUCCGAUUUUUUUAUGACAAAAUUAGUAAAUUAUCGGCGAGUUAUGUUUGAUUGUGGAUUCCUUGAUCUCUUAUUGAAAGUUAUUCUUGAUGAUCCGUCCCUUUUUAGAAUUGGUUUCUUUAUAUGAAGAUCAAGGCGAUGGUUUGUGAUUCUAGUCGUUGGUUUUUUUGUCGCCUUUACAAAUUGGAUUUUUGAUGAUUUUUGUUUGAAAAUCUCAUCAGAAAGAGAUUGCUUGAGCUCUUUUUGAAAAGGAUGCGACGAGGAGUUGGUCUCUUCUAUAAAAGGUUCCUUGAUCUCUUCUUGAAAAAGGUUGCGACGAGGAUCAGGUUUCUUCCGCAAAAGAUUAAAAAGGUUGCGACGAGGAUCAGGUUCCUUCCGCAAAAGAUAAAUUCUUCGGGGAUGAAGAUCCAGCGGAAAAGAUUAAUUCUUCGGGUAUGAAGAUCCAGAUCAUAAGAUUGUGAUUCCGUUUGGUGAUUUGUCAUCUGAGUUUUGGAUGACAACACGAGGGAAAGUUUGCUUAAUGCCAAGGAUCGUCAAAUAGAAGAAAUCGUGCAGGAUUGAUUAUCCAGCCCACAAUGAAAAUUUUGCUGCUGAAUCAUAUUGGAAGGUCGCGAGGAAGGGAAGAACAGAUGUAUAUUUAGAUUUGUUGCUUGUUUGGGUAGUUUUUAAGCGGAUCUAUUGUGUUCUUGGUGUAUAUUGAAACCGGUUUCAUCUCCAUCCAAGAAAAAGAUCAGCUGCAGUGAUAAAGGUGAUGUAUAAUUAUGUAAUAUGACCUUUGCCAUGAUGGGUGCGCUCGCAUGGCAGGUCGCUAAAUCCUUAAUAAAAUUUUCCUUUUUGUGGUUCUUGAGGGGGAGAUCGCACGGGGAUUUGAGUUUUUUAGUUCCCCCGGGUUCUCCCCUUCAUCUUGUGUGCUUCCUUGUGUGUGUGUGUGUGUCUCUGUCUCUCUGUGUGCGCGUGCUUACGCCUUCACCAAUGACAGCACUUCCACGAUUAUUACCGAUUACUACCUUCCAUCUCCGGCGCUUGGCAGGCCAUGCAUGUGAUCUGCCUCACCAUGUAUGUCUCCCAUCUUAAUCGCAGGUAAAAACUUCUACCCUGCAUCUACAGUGUUCGUUAUGAAUUUUUUUUACCAUCAUCACGUACUUACCAGAAUUAUGCAUCACAUCCCAGUCACAUUAGUUUAGUCCUGCUGCCUAAGGCUCACAAUCAAACUUUUGUUUGUUGCUGUCUAAUGAUCACAAUUGAACUUUUGUUUAUUGCCAUCUAACACUCACAAUCUCUUUGGUUUAUAAAGUAAUUUUUACUCUAAUUUGGUCUAUUUGAGUUCAUAUUGAAUGUUAAGUCAAGAAACAUUAUUUCAUCAAUUUGUUUUCUGGAGUUAAUGCCAAUUUCUUUGUACUUUUAUUUUAGUGUUUGUUGUACAUACAGAAAGGCAAAUUUAGUUAUCUUGUAUAAGAGAAGUUUGUAAAGUUUGUAGUUAUUAUAGAUUUUCUUGAAGUUCAGAAGCGCAAGCAUGCUAUAAGAGAAGGAUGUUUAGGAGGAGAACUUGCAUAUUGGUGAAGAGAGCUGGUUAUUGUUUGAAGAAUGCUUGGCAUGAAGAAUAUGGUUUAAAUGCCCUGAAUCACAGACUAGGACUUCAAAUUGGUUAAGAUCAGCGUCAAGAUUUACAUCUUUUUCACCUUUGUGGAAUUUGUCUUCGCAUUGAGAGUUUACUGGCUAGUCUUUUCAAAGUAGCUGAGGAUGGCAUGGUUCACCUGACCAUUUCUUUAUGGGCACUAACAAUUUUUUUAAGCAUCUUCCACUUUUUCUUCAAAGUAUGGCUAGCUGUGCAAAUGUAGACUUAUUUAAAAGGUUGCUUUGUUUUAGUAGUAGCAUUUAUAUUUUUGUCGUCUGGUGCACUAGUGUUGGUGCAUUCUACUGCAAAUUUGUUCGCAAGAUUUGCAAAUCUAACAUAUAUUAUGAUUACCAGGUUAUUACUGGGCAUCUAUAAGGAGUCAAAAGUGUUCGGACUAUGCAUUGGUUCCUAGAUAGUGUAGAUGUAGUUGAGCUUAGUCCUCUAUUUUUUAAGUGUUAUACAAGACCAUGUUUUCAUUUUCUCGUCUUUUUUUAAAAAAAAAUUAACUUGUGCUAGGUGCUUUGUUUUGGUAUUCAUUCUACCAAACUUUUCAAUGCUAUGAUAAAUGCAGUAUAUUUAAAUCUUAAUUAACUGUUGUAGUUUGCUAUAUUGCUCCUCUGUUAGGCUUUUUUAUAUGAAUGAGUUUUGUGCUUUUGGUCUCUUCAAUAGCUUCUCUGUUAAUCCAUUUAUUAUAUUUGUUCUCUUGACUUUGCAGAUGUUAUCAUGACUCAAUUCUUUAAGGGUUCACUCUGCUACAUGAUUCAUAUGUUAUUGUCAAUUGAUCUCAAGUUGGAUUGUGGUCACCCAAUAUCCAUUCCUCUUGCUGUUUUGGAAACGAGUUUUUUAUCUUCGUAAAGCUAAGUGAAACCGGUCUCAGAAGUUGCGGCAUAGACCGGUUAGGAAGGAGUUUCUUUUGGUUGCUCAUUUCAAGUGAGCUUUUCAAACAUAUGCUUGGGGGAAUUGGUUUAAAUUUCACAUUUUUCUGUUGGGGUAAGUUAAAAUAAGUUGGUUAUCAUUGUUUAUCAAGUGAAGGUUUCAAACUUUUAUCGCAAGUUCGAAUUUGGGGAUUUCCUAGUUAUACCCUGGUAAUCAUAAUAUAUUUUCGAUUUGUUGGAUCGUCCAAUUUUAGACUAAGUUUGAUUCCUUUCCAUGACAUGAAGAUGAGUUCUUGUUGUGGUACCUGAGCUGAUAACUAUAGUCUUAUCAUUAGCUUGUUGAUGCUGUUUGUUAGCCGGUUAGCCUUUUAUAUGCUGCAUGCAUUGUAUUUAGAUGUUCACUUUCUGGUGCUAAUACGGAGGCCAUUGCUUUAGCUGAUUUAAUUUGUUCUGGCAAUUGUUUGCUCUAGUCAUGAUGCACUCAACUUUAACUGAUUAGUCACCUUUUUUUCUUCAUUGGGCACAGUGAGAGUUCAGUAUGCAGGAUCUUAAGCUCAAAAUUGGCAGAGUGCUCUUGCAUUUGUGGUUUUAGCUUUGUUAAUUUACUCACAAAUGCUGGAGUGGGUGGUGGUUCGAAUCCAUCGAGAUCCAAUUCUUUUUUGUCAUAUUGGUCUUCAAGAAUAUUUUUUUUUGUUAUUUAUUUGAUAUUUUCUUGGGUUAUAUUGGUUGCUUUGUAUUACUGUUGAAUUUUAGUAAACAAAAAUUACUGAAGGCUUUUAGAAAGGAAAUUAAGAGAACAAUUUCGUAUU